RNAcentral lists this long non-coding RNA (618 nucleotides) under Homo sapiens (human). RNAcentral's name for it is "sirtuin 2 (ENSG00000283100.2)". The record is from RNAcentral. Lineage: Eukaryota; Metazoa; Chordata; Mammalia; Primates; Hominidae.
GGGACACAGUGGUUGGUGACGGGACAGAGCGGUCGGUGACAGCCUCAAGGGCUUCAGCACCGCGCCCAUGGCAGAGCCAGACCGAGGAGGAGGAUCGCUUGAGCCCAGGAAUUUGAGGCUGCAGUGAGCUAUGAUCGCACUAUUGCACUCCAACCUGGGUGACAUGAGCGAGACCCUUUCUCUAAAAAGUAAAAAAGAAAGAAAGUAAGUCAGGGCCAGAAACAAUGGCUCAUGCUUGUAAUCCCAGUACUUUGGGAGGCCAAGGUGGUUGGAUCGCUUGAGCCCAGGAGUUCAAGACCAGCCUGGGCAAAAGCCCCUACUUUCUCCCUGUCCCCCUAAAUCUUCCUCUCCAGCCUCUCUGCCCCUCACUAAUCACCUCUCCCGGCAUCACUUUGCAUGUAGAUAAGAUCUUUUCUCCGUCCCCUCCCUCCCUCUGCUCCAUUUUUACCACCAUCCCAUCCCAGUGUAACUAGGUUGGUGGGUGUUCUUGCCCCCUCACUGACCAUUUGAACCCCUUUAUUCCCCCCUUAAUCGUUCUCCCCACUGUAACCACCUCUGCUCCCCUCCCCCAGCCUCUCACCCUCUGGAGACCCAGGCAGGGAAGGUGCAGGAGGCUCA